This 501-nucleotide ribosomal RNA is filed under the name uncultured bacterium. RNAcentral's name for it is "partial 16S ribosomal RNA". It matches the Rfam family "Bacterial small subunit ribosomal RNA", at positions 30 to 523 of the family's 1533-position model. The record is from RNAcentral.
AUUGAACGCUGGCGGCAGGCUUAACACAUGCAAGUCGAGCGGAGAUGAGGUGCUUGCACCUUAUCUUAGCGGCGGACGGGUGAGUAAUGCUUAGGAAUCUGCCAUUUAGUGGGGGACAACAUUCCGAAAGGAAUGCUAAUACCGCAUACAUCCUACGGGAGAAAGCAGGGGAUCUUCGGACCUUGCGCUAAAUGAUGAGCCUAAGUCGGAUUAGCUAGUUGGUGGGGUAAAGGCCUACCAAGGCGACGAUCUGUAGCGGGUCUGAGAGGAUGAUCCGCCACACUGGGACUGAGACACGGCCCAGACUCCUACGGGAGGCAGCAGUGGGGAAUAUUGGACAAUGGGCGGAAGCCUGAUCCAGCCAUGCCGCGUGUGUGAAGAAGGCCUUUUGGUUGUAAAGCACUUUAAGCGAGGAGGAGGCUACCUGGAUUAAUACUCUGGGAUAGUGGACGUUACUCGCAGAAUAAGCACCGGCUAACUCUGUGCCAGCAGCCGCCGCAG